RNAcentral lists this ribosomal RNA (253 nucleotides) under uncultured bacterium. RNAcentral's name for it is "partial 16S ribosomal RNA". It matches the Rfam family "Bacterial small subunit ribosomal RNA", at positions 524 to 776 of the family's 1533-position model. The record is from RNAcentral.
UACGUAGGUGGCAAGCGUUGUCCGGAUUUAUUGGGUUUAAAGGGUGCGUAGGCGGCUUUGUAAGUCAGUGGUGAAAUAUGGCAGCUCAACUGUCAGGGUGCCAUUGAUACUGCAGAGCUUGAGUACAGAUGAGGUAGGCGGAAUUGACGGUGUAGCGGUGAAAUGCUUAGAUAUCGUCAAGAACACCGAUAGCGAAGGCAGCUUACUAAACUAUAACUGACGCUGAGGCACGAAAGUGCGGGGAUCAAACAGG